Molecule: ribosomal RNA, 1571 nt
Filed under: uncultured prokaryote
Description: partial 16S ribosomal RNA
Rfam family: Bacterial small subunit ribosomal RNA
Source: RNAcentral
GAGUUUGAUCCUGGCUCAGAUUGAACGCUGGCGGCAGGCCUAACACAUGCAAGUCGAGCGGUAACAGGAAGAAGCUUGCUUCUUUGCUGACGAGCGGCGGACGGGUGAGUAAUGCCUGGGAAUAUGCCUUAGUGUGGGGGAUAACUAUUGGAAACGAUAGCUAAUACCGCAUAAUGCCUACGGGCCAAAGAGGGGGACCUUCGGGCCUCUCGCGCUAAGAUUAGCCCAGGUGGGAUUAGCUUGUUGGUGGGGUAAUGGCUCACCAAGGCAACGAUCCCUAGCUGGUCUGAGAGGAUGAUCAGCCACACUGGAACUGAGACACGGUCCAGACUCCUACGGGAGGCAGCAGUGGGGAAUAUUGCACAAUGGGGGAAACCCUGAUGCAGCCAUGCCGCGUGUAUGAAGAAGGCCUUCGGGUUGUAAAGUACUUUCAGCAGUGAGGAAGGGCGGUACGUUAAUAGCGUAUUGUCUUGACGUUAGCUGCAGAAGAAGCACGGAGUAACUCCGUGCCAGCAGCCGCGGUAAUACGGAGGGUGCGAGCGUUAAUCGGAAUUACUGGACGUAAAGCGCAUGCAGGUGGUUUGUUAAGUCAGAUGUGAAAGCCCGAGGCUCAACCUCGGAAGGUCAUUUGAAACUGGCAAACUAGAGUACUGUAGAGGGGGGUAGAAUUUCAGGUGUAGCGGUGAAAUACGUCUAGAGUACUGUAGAGGGGGGUAGAAUUUCAGGUGUAGCGGUGAAAUGCGUAGAGAUCUGAAGGAAUACCAGUGGCGAAGGCGGCCCCCUGGACAGAUACUGACACUCAGAUGCGAAAGCGUGGGGAGCAAACAGGAUUAGAUACCCUGGUAGUCCACGCCGUAAACGAUGUCUACUUGGAGGUUGUGGCCUUGAGCCGUGGCUUUCGGAGCUAACGCGUUAAGUAGACCGCCUGGGGAGUACGGUCGCAAGAUUAAAACUCAAAUGAAUUGACGGGGGCCCGCACAAGCGGUGGAGCAUGUGGUUUAAUUCGAUGCAACGCGAAGAACCUUACCUACUCUUGACAUCCAGAGAAUUCGCUAGAGAUAGCUUAGUGCCUUCGGGAACUCUGAGACAGGUGCUGCAUGGCUGUCGUCAGCUCGUGUUGUGAAAUGUUGGGUUAAGUCCCGCAACGAGCGCAACGCUUAUCCUUGUUUGCCAGCACGUAAUGGUGGGAACUCCAGGGAGACUGCCGGUGAUAAACCGGAGGAAGGUGGGGACGACGUCAAGUCAUCAUGGCCCUUACGAGUAGGGCUACACACGUGCUACAAUGGCGCAUACAGAGGGCAGCCAACCAGCGAUGGUGAGCGAAUCCCAAAAAGUGCGUCGUAGUCCGGAUUGGAGUCUGCAACUCGACUCCAUGAAGUCGGAAUCGCUAGUAAUCGUAGAUCAGAAUGCUACGGUGAAUACGUUCCCGGGCCUUGUACACACCGCCCGUCACACCAUGGGAGUGGGCUGCAAAAGAAGUAGGUAGUUUAACCCUUCGGGGGGGACGCUUACCACUUUGUGGUUCAUGACUGGGGUGAAGUCGUAACAAGGUAGCCCUAGGGGAACCUGGG